UUAAUUAAUAUAUAUAUAUAUAUAUAUAUAUAUAACCUUCUUAAUUAGUAACAUUAAUUAAGCUGAUAGACAGACAUACAGAUGCAGUUUAUCCGGCCAGAUCGAUCUAACGAAGAGUAGUUUAGAUCUGACGGUUAUUGGUCUGGGGGCCUCUGCCGGAGGUAACAGGUUUUCUUGGUGGCUUUCUGAAUGCCGUUUUGGUUGCUACUGAUCUACUUGUCACCAUAAAUGUUGCCUCCUGCAUGCAGCCAGCCAAAUUAAAUUAAUUAAUGAGUAUUUGAAUAUAUAUAUAUAUAUAUAUAUAUAUAUAUAUAUAUAUAUAUAUGGGAUAUAGAGAGAUGAAACAGAGGAGAGAGAGAGAGAGAUACAGUAGUGGAGUGUGUGGUUUCUCCUCCUAAUUGUGUUUGAGUAGGAGAAUUAUCUGCAGGUGAUUGGUGUUUAUAAGUAGUACUUUCUGAUGUGAAGCCCAGGCGCCUUAGCAUAGAUUUAAUUACUUCUUGUAGGAAAUUCCAGGGAGUUUUGUAAGAGUAGUAGUAUACUACUACUUCACUACUCUCCCUCAUCACCUCUCCUGAACAUCUAAUCUCCAUUAUUUAUUUCUUCUUCUUCUCUGUCUCUUUCUCAAUGGAUUUAUUUAUACUCUCAAAGGUCAAAAGAGGAAGAGGAAGAGGAAGAGGGCGAGGAGGAGACGGGGGUAUAUAUGGUAACUAUGUAAGUUGGAG
Molecule: long non-coding RNA, 722 nt
Filed under: Panax ginseng (ginseng)
Lineage: Eukaryota; Viridiplantae; Streptophyta; Magnoliopsida; Apiales; Araliaceae
Description: long non-coding RNA (PGIN_LNC016797)
Source: RNAcentral